RNAcentral lists this ribosomal RNA (488 nucleotides) under uncultured bacterium. RNAcentral describes it as "partial 16S ribosomal RNA". It matches the Rfam family "Bacterial small subunit ribosomal RNA", at positions 27 to 507 of the family's 1533-position model. The record is from RNAcentral.
GGAUGAACGCUAGCGAUAGGCUUAACCCAUGCAAGUCGAGGGGCAGCACAAGGUAGCUUGCUAUCUGGGUGGCGACCGGCGCACGGGUGCGUAACGCGUAUGCAACUUGCCCUAUACAGGAGGAUAACCCGUCGAAAGACGGACUAAUACUGCGUAUGCUCACAACUUGGCAUCAAGUGGCGAGGAAAGAAAUUCGGUAUAGGAUAGGCAUGCGUCCCAUUAGCUUGUUGGUGAGGUAACGGCUCACCAAGGCAACGAUGGGUAGGGGAACUGAGAGGUUUAUCCCCCACACUGGUACUGAGACACGGACCAGACUCCUACGGGAGGCAGCAGUGAGGAAUAUUGGUCAAUGGGCGCGAGCCUGAACCAGCCAAGUCGCGUGAAGGAUGACUGUCUUAUGGAUUGUAAACUUCUUUUAUACGGGAAUAACAAGAGUCACGUGUGACUCCCUGCAUGUACCGUAUGAAUAAGCAUCGGCUAACUCCGUG